RNAcentral lists this transfer RNA (76 nucleotides) under Aphelasterias japonica. Its description in RNAcentral is "tRNA-Lys". The record is from RNAcentral. Lineage: Eukaryota; Metazoa; Echinodermata; Asteroidea; Forcipulatida; Asteriidae.
CUUUGAUAAGCUUAUAAUGGCAAGCAUUAAACUCUUAAUUUAAAUCAAAGUGAUCUCACCCCCCCACUAUCAAAGA